RNAcentral lists this long non-coding RNA (1876 nucleotides) under Helianthus annuus (common sunflower). RNAcentral describes it as "hypothetical non coding rna". Lineage: Eukaryota; Viridiplantae; Streptophyta; Magnoliopsida; Asterales; Asteraceae. The record is from RNAcentral.
CCCCUUUUUCCUAACAUGUUCUUUUAUCUACUUUAUCCAUAGACCAGAAAUCACUUGUCUUCAUAGUUGUUGUUGCCUCCACAUCAACACACAGCAGGGAGAUAGAGAGAGGAGUAAGAGAGACAAAGUAGAGAGGUAGAGAGAACUGAGCGACUGUGAUGGAGGAACCGGCGCCAACCGCCGUCGAGGAAGCGGGAACUGUUGUUACGACGUCACCAACUGCCUCCGACUGAACCAGAGUCUGUGAUGACGACGGCGAGUUCUAGAGUCCCGAUCUCUCAAUUGGUCGCCGGUUGUGGCUUCUCGAUGGUGGUCGGCCGGUUAACGGGGAUAUCCGACAAUACCCACAAAAAACCACCGCUUGUGCUUUGACAUAGUCAAUAAAUAAGGAGCGACAGAACACGUUGGUGAGCACUCCGGCAGUUCUUUCACUCCGGCGAUGGCGGUUUGGACCUGAACCAGGGACCGCUUGUCCUUGCACUGCCACUGCUUCCUCCUCCCUCUCCACCAUGCCACCGACUUCACUCCGGCGAUGGGCAGUUUGGAAUUGAAUCAGCGAGGUCGUCUCCUCCUUCCACUGCCACUGCUUCCUCCUCCUUCUCCAGUGACAAUAGCAAAUGGUGUUAUAUCCAAGAUUAAAUGAGGCAAAGGAAAAUUUAUAGUUAUAAGUGUCGUUUGUCAUCGUCGCACCUAUUAUCGCCGGUCAACGACCGCAACAACAAUCUUAGAUUAGUAGAUUAUUGUAUCACCAAGUAGACAUGGGUUGAGUCUGUGUGAACUGAUUACAUACGUGUAAUAUAUAACCAGGACUGGCUCAGCCAUUUUGUCAGACCAAAGCGAAAAAAGAAAUUGGGGCCCUUCCCCAAGAUACCGCCGCAACUCGCAUCUCAGCAGCAUGAAUGAUAGAAUCUGCCUCAAAUGCUAGAUGGUAAUAUCACAGUCCAGUCUAUUCAGAUGUAGAGGCAAAGAUGAGGCGUUUUUUGGUUGAUUUGGAGUCCAAAUGUGCAUCACUAUGAAAAACAAACUUUUUUAUGAUUGGAUAUACUGAUCAGUAUGACUACUACAAAACUGUUCGUUGCACUAUAUAUACUUUUAUGCUUUUUAGUUCAGGUUUGUGUGUACAAAGACUAGACAAGUGAUAAUCGAUACCGCAGCUGGAAUACUGGGAAAUGGUAGCGCUUUUUCAUGUUCAAAAGGGAUUACUUCUUGAACACAAACCCGAAGAAGCAGCCGCAAUAAUUCAGUUAGAUUUCAGUGGGAUUCAUUUUGUAUAACUUCGUUUUGUACAUCCUUGAUAUAUAGGCUAGGCGAUGCGACUAUGGAAUGUUGAUGUAACAAACACUUGGUUUAUCGAGUAUGAUACAUAUGAAUGAAUCCCCGCCGCAUCGCGGCGGGUGUUAAAUCCUAGUUCGAAUUAUAUUGUACAUACACUUUGCUUGAACUGGCCUUUAUUAGCGAAUAGUGAACGGUGUGGGCCUGGCCCCAUUUAGUUCCCAUGAUCUUGUUCCUUCAACUCUUAUGGAUCUACCCUCACAAAAUUGCCUUUCAUUUAUGUAUGUUUUUUUUCUUCUUUGUAUUUCCUUCAACAGCAACAACUCCAUCAUAAAUAUAAUGCGGUCAACAUGUUAAUUUUUUUUGUCAACGAAGCAGAUGCAAAUUAGAUUUGCUUUUGUCUUCUUUGUCGCCACGUAAAUAAUAGCCGCCCAAACUUAUAAAAUAUAGAUAGUGGCUUCGGCCCACUCGAGAAAAAUGCGUCAAUUUUACUUCGGUCACUGGCAUCCCACUGUGUCCAACUGGCUGGUUAUUUAAUUAUUACUCUUUUUCGUUCCAUUUGCACCAGUACCUGCCCAACACAAAAUAAUAUAAAACCACACUA